GACAAGGAAUGUAGAGAAGAGUUGA
Molecule: non-coding RNA, 25 nt
Filed under: Cricetulus griseus (Chinese hamster)
Lineage: Eukaryota; Metazoa; Chordata; Mammalia; Rodentia; Cricetidae
Source: RNAcentral